Non-coding RNA from Thermanaerothrix daxensis, 389 nucleotides. It matches the Rfam family "transfer-messenger RNA". From Rfam's summary of the family: Bacterial tmRNA, also known as 10Sa RNA or SsrA, is named for its dual tRNA and mRNA-like properties. Its role is to liberate the mRNA from a stalled ribosome. To accomplish this part of the tmRNA is used as a reading frame that ends in a translation stop signal. The record is from Rfam. NCBI's taxonomy places the organism in Bacteria, Bacillati, Chloroflexota, Anaerolineae, Anaerolineales, Anaerolineaceae.
GGGGAUGAACGGCUUCGACGGAAGAGGCUGAUCCCGAACGGCGAGCCGAGAGGCGCCGACCUCGUAAAAUCAGCGCAAAAAAUAAGUGCCAACCGCACAAACUACGCUGCUCUCCCGCUGGCUGCGUAAGCCAAAAGGGAUGAGCGCCCUGGCCUCCCGAGUGUGAGGCCACGUUCGCCUACCCCGCUGCCUGGCCGGUGGUAGAGCGGGCGUGAGAAAGCCAGGCUGCCGCACAGCACGCUGCGGGCUGUGCGAAAGACCAAGCAGCUAGCGUGGCUCCUGUUCUGUUGGUCGUCGGGAGUAGCGCGAAAAUCAAAGACCAACUACGCUCGUAGAUGUUCGAGGGUCGAAUCUUUCGGACGCGGGUUCGAUUCCCGCCAUCUCCACAC